RNAcentral lists this small RNA (124 nucleotides) under Marmota monax (woodchuck). The record is from RNAcentral. Lineage: Eukaryota; Metazoa; Chordata; Mammalia; Rodentia; Sciuridae.
GCCAGGUGUGGUAGCAUACACCUGUAAUCCCAGCAGCUUGGAGGCUGAGGCAGGAGGAUUGCAAGUUUGAGGCCAGCCUCAGCAACUUAGUGAGGCCCUAAGUAACUUAGCAAGACUCUGUCAU